GAUGAACGCUAGCGGCAGGCCUAAUACAUGCAAGUCGAACGGGAUCCAGAUCAAAGCUUGCUUUGGUUUGGUGAGAGUGGCGCACGGGUGCGUAACGCGUGAGCAACCUACCCUUGUCAGGGGGAUAGCCCGGCGAAAGUCGGAUUAAUACCGCAUGACAUCAUUGAGAGGCAUCUUUCGAUGAUCAAAGAUUUAUCGGACAAGGAUGGGCUCGCGUGACAUUAGCUAGUUGGUAAGGUAACGGCUUACCAAGGCUACGAUGUCUAGGGGCUCUGAGAGGAGAAUCCCCCACACUGGUACUGAGACACGGACCAGACUCCUACGGGAGGCAGCAGUAAGGAAUAUUGGUCAAUGGACGGAAGUCUGAACCAGCCAUGCCGCAUGCAGGAAGACGGCCCUAUGGGUUGUAAACUGCUUUUAUACGGGAACAAACGUCGGUACGUGUACCGGUCUGAGUGUACCGUAAGAAUAAGGAUCGGCUAACUCCGUG
This 490-nucleotide ribosomal RNA is filed under the name uncultured bacterium. Its description in RNAcentral is "partial 16S ribosomal RNA". It matches the Rfam family "Bacterial small subunit ribosomal RNA", at positions 28 to 507 of the family's 1533-position model. The record is from RNAcentral.